CAAUCUCAAUCUCAAUCUCUCAAUUUAUUUAUUUAUUUUUUGAUAACACGGAAAGGGUAAGUUUUUGUUUUUGAUGAGUGGGUAUACUUCUUUGUAUGUGUAUGCGAGCUGUCCUGUUAGAUCUAUGGUUGUCUACUGAAGGUAGUAUUUUAUGGCCUCUAUUAGUACAAUCUUAUUAUGUAAAUUUUUGUUUGCGAUUAGCCAUUUUUGCAUUUUUGUUGAAUAUGAGUAAUUAUUUCGUUUGGAACUUAAAAUCACGAAUAAAUUUUCGUCUUAUUUAGUUACUUACAAAAUCAUUUCACUAGGAUUGAUAGUAAAUAAGUUCAUUUUUCUAUAGAUUUGAUUUUUUAAUUUGCUUGUAGGUUAACU
Molecule: unclassified non-coding RNA, 369 nt
Filed under: Hevea brasiliensis (rubber tree)
Lineage: Eukaryota; Viridiplantae; Streptophyta; Magnoliopsida; Malpighiales; Euphorbiaceae
Source: RNAcentral